Molecule: non-coding RNA, 26 nt
Filed under: Mus musculus (house mouse)
Lineage: Eukaryota; Metazoa; Chordata; Mammalia; Rodentia; Muridae
Source: RNAcentral
UAAGGAGACAGCAUGGAGACCCAUAA